RNAcentral lists this ribosomal RNA (468 nucleotides) under uncultured bacterium. RNAcentral's name for it is "partial 16S ribosomal RNA". It matches the Rfam family "Bacterial small subunit ribosomal RNA", at positions 28 to 507 of the family's 1533-position model. The record is from RNAcentral.
GACGAACGCUGGCGGCGUGCUUAACACAUGCAAGUCGAACGGAAAGGCCCUGCUUUUGUGGGGUGCUCGAGUGGCGAACGGGUGAGUAACACGUGAGUAACCUGCCCUUGACUUUGUGAUAACUUCAGGAAACUGGGGCUAAUACCGGAUAGGAGCUCCUGCUGCAUGGUGGGGGUUGGAAAGAUUCGGCGGUUGGGGAUGGACUCGCGGCUUAUCAGCUUGUUGGUGGGGUAGUGGCUUACCAAGGCUUUGACGGGUAGCCGGCCUGGGAGGGUGACCGGCCACAAUGGGACUACGAUACGGCCCAGACUCCUACGUGCGGCAGCGGUGGGGAAUAUUGCACAGUGGGCGGAAGCCUGAUGCAGCGACGCCGCGUGCGGGAUGACGGCCUUCGGGUUGUAAACCGCUUUCGCCUGUGACGAAGCGUGAGUGACGGUAAUGGGUAAAGAAGCACCGGCUAACUACGUG